RNAcentral lists this ribosomal RNA (383 nucleotides) under uncultured bacterium. Its description in RNAcentral is "bacterial SSU rRNA". It matches the Rfam family "Bacterial small subunit ribosomal RNA", at positions 975 to 1375 of the family's 1533-position model. The record is from RNAcentral.
CUGGAUUCAAUCUUGGUUGCACCGGGGGUAAUGCCCCGUCCCCGCAAGGGGCGGCCAGGACGGUGCUGCAUGGCUGUCGUCAGCUCGUGCCGUGAGGUGUUGGGUUAAGUCCCCUAACGAGCGCAACCCCUAUUGCCGGUUGAACAUCCGGCGAGACUGCCGCGCACAACGCGGAGGAAGGCGGGGAUGAUGUCAAGUCAGCACGGCCCUUACGACCAGGGCAACACACACGCUACAAUGGUCGGGACAAUGAGCCGCAACACCGCGAGGUGAAGGGAAUCUCGUAAACCCGGCCUCAGUUCGGAUGGUAGGCUGCAACUCGCCUGCCUGAAGUCGGAGUUGCUAGUAACCGCCGGUCAGCACACGGCGGUGAAUACGUUCCC